UCGAGCGGCGGACGGGUGAGUAACGCGUGGGUAACCUGCCUCAUACAGGGGGAUAACAGUUGGAAACGGCUGCUAAUACCGCAUAAGCGCACAGUACCGCAUGGUACGGUGUGAAAAACUCCGGUGGUAUGAGAUGGACCCGCGUCUGAUUAGGUAGUUGGUGGGGUAACGGCCUACCAAGCCGACGAUCAGUAGCCGACCUGAGAGGGUGACCGGCCACAUUGGGACUGAGACACGGCCCAA
RNAcentral lists this ribosomal RNA (243 nucleotides) under uncultured bacterium. RNAcentral describes it as "partial 16S ribosomal RNA". It matches the Rfam family "Bacterial small subunit ribosomal RNA", at positions 91 to 334 of the family's 1533-position model. The record is from RNAcentral.